UGGGGAAUAUUGCACAAUGGGGGAAACCCUGAUGCAGCGACGCCGCGUGAAGGAAGAAGUAUUUCGGUAUGUAAACUUCUAUCAGCAGGGAAGAAAAUGACGGUACCUGAGUAAGAAGCCCCGGCUAACUACGUGCCAGCAGCCGCGGUAAUACGUAGGGGGCAAGCGUUAUCCGGAUUUACUGGGUGUAAAGGGAGCGUAGACGGUAAUGUAAGUCUGAUGUGAAAGCCCGGGGCUCAACCCCGGGACUGCAUUGGAAACUAUGUAACCAGAGUACCGGAGAGGUAAGCGGAAUUCCUAGUGUAGCGGUGAAACGCGUAGAUAUUAGGAGGAACACCAGUGGCGAAGGCGGCUUACUGGACAGUAACUGACGUUGAGGCUCGAAAGCGUGGGGAGCAAACAGG
This 404-nucleotide ribosomal RNA is filed under the name uncultured bacterium. RNAcentral's name for it is "bacterial SSU rRNA". It matches the Rfam family "Bacterial small subunit ribosomal RNA", at positions 355 to 776 of the family's 1533-position model. The record is from RNAcentral.